This 72-nucleotide transfer RNA is filed under the name Curtobacterium sp. MCSS17_016. Its description in RNAcentral is "tRNA-Thr". It matches the Rfam family "tRNA". From Rfam's summary of the family: Transfer RNA (tRNA) molecules are approximately 80 nucleotides in length. Their secondary structure includes four short double-helical elements and three loops (D, anti-codon, and T loops). The record is from RNAcentral. Lineage: Bacteria; Bacillati; Actinomycetota; Actinomycetes; Micrococcales; Microbacteriaceae.
GCCCGAAUAGCUCAGUGGUAGAGCGGCUCCCUCGUAAGGAGCAGGUCCUCGGUUCGAAUCCGAGUUCGGGCU